RNAcentral lists this ribosomal RNA (620 nucleotides) under uncultured bacterium. RNAcentral describes it as "bacterial SSU rRNA". It matches the Rfam family "Bacterial small subunit ribosomal RNA", at positions 67 to 698 of the family's 1533-position model. The record is from RNAcentral.
CGGUGACGAGGAGCUUGCUCCUCUGAUCAGUGGCGAACGGGUGAGUAACACGUGAGCAACCUGCCCCAGACUCUGGGAUAACAGUUGGAAACAGCUGCUAAUACCGGAUACGAGACGGAGAGGCAUCUCUACCGUCUGGAAAGUUUUUCGGUCUGGGAUGGACUCGCGGCCUAUCAGCUAGUUGGUGGGGUAAUGGCUCACCAAGGCGACGGCGGGUAGCCGGCCUGAGAGGGCGACCGGCCACACUGGGACUGAGACACGGCCCAGACUCCUACGGGAGGCAGCAGUGGGGAAUAUUGCACAAUGGGCGAAAGCCUGAUGCAGCGACGCCGCGUGAGGGAUGACGGCCUUCGGGUUGUAAACCUCUUUCAGCAGGGAAGAAGCGAAAGUGACGGUACCUGCAGAAGAAGCACCGGCUAACUACGUGCCAGCAGCCGCGGUAAUACGUAGGGUGCGAGCGUUGUCCGGAAUUAUUGGGCGUAAAGAGCUUGUAGGCGGUUUGUCGCGUCUGCAGUGAAAAUCCGAGGCUCAACCUCGGACUUGCUGUGGGGUACCGGGCAGACUAGAGUAUGGUAGGGGAGACCGGAAUUCCUGGUGUAGCGGUGGAAUGCGCAGAUAUC